RNAcentral lists this ribosomal RNA (525 nucleotides) under Pseudomonas sp. BPD-16. RNAcentral describes it as "bacterial SSU rRNA". It matches the Rfam family "Bacterial small subunit ribosomal RNA", at positions 8 to 528 of the family's 1533-position model. Lineage: Bacteria; Pseudomonadati; Pseudomonadota; Gammaproteobacteria; Pseudomonadales; Pseudomonadaceae. The record is from RNAcentral.
AGAGUUUGAUCAUGGCUCAGAUUGAACGCUGGCGGCAGGCCUAACACAUGCAAGUCGAGCGGUAGAGAGAAGCUUGCUUCUCUUGAGAGCGGCGGACGGGUGAGUAAUGCCUAGGAAUCUGCCUGGUAGUGGGGGAUAACGUUCGGAAACGGACGCUAAUACCGCAUACGUCCUACGGGAGAAAGCAGGGGACCUUCGGGCCUUGCGCUAUCAGAUGAGCCUAGGUCGGAUUAGCUAGUUGGUGGGGUAAUGGCUCACCAAGGCGACGAUCCGUAACUGGUCUGAGAGGAUGAUCAGUCACACUGGAACUGAGACACGGUCCAGACUCCUACGGGAGGCAGCAGUGGGGAAUAUUGGACAAUGGGCGAAAGCCUGAUCCAGCCAUGCCGCGUGUGUGAAGAAGGUCUUCGGAUUGUAAAGCACUUUAAGUUGGGAGGAAGGGUUGUAGAUUAAUACUCUGCAAUUUUGACGUUACCGACAGAAUAAGCACCGGCUAACUCUGUGCCAGCAGCCGCGGUAAUACAG